CGACGUGAGCAAUCUGCCUUUGGAUGGGGGAUAACAGCCGGAAACGACUGCUAAUACCGCAUGAUGCAGCGGGGUCGCAUGAUUUUGCUGCCAAAGAUUUAUCGUCCAAAGAUGAGCUCGCGUCUGAUUAGCCAGUUGGCGGGGUAACGGCCCACCAAAGCGACGAUCAGUAGCCGGACUGAGAGGUUGAACGGCCACAUUGGGACUGAGACACGGCCCAGACUCCUACGGGAGGCAGCAG
Molecule: ribosomal RNA, 241 nt
Filed under: uncultured bacterium
Lineage: Bacteria
Description: partial 16S ribosomal RNA
Rfam family: Bacterial small subunit ribosomal RNA
Source: RNAcentral